UAGUACGGCGAGUGAAGAGGGAAGAGCCCAAGAUUGAAAGCUGGCGUCUUCGGCGUCCGCAUUGUAAUCUCAAGAAGUGUUUUCCGCUUCGGACCAAGCCUAAGUCCCCUGGAAAGGGGCAUCAUAGAGGGUGGUAAUCCCGUACAUGGCUUGGAGCGCCCGAGGCUUUGUGAUACACUUUCUAAGAGUCGAGUUGUUUGGGAAUGCAGCUCAAAAUGGGUGGUAAAUGCCAUCUAAGGCUAAAUAUUGGGGAGAGACCGAUAGCGAACAAGUACAGUGAUGGAAAGAUGAAAAGAACUUUGAAAAGAGAGUUAAACAGUACGUGAAAUUGCCAAAAGGGAAGGGUAGGAGGUCAGAGAUGCGGCCUGGGAUUCAGCCUUGCUUUUGCUUGGUGUUUUUCCCAGAUUGCAGGCCAACGUCGGUUUUGGGCACUGGAGAAGGGUAGGAGGAACGUGGCACCUCUCGGGGUGUGUUAUAGCCUCCUACUGGAUACAGCGACCGAGACCGAGGACAGCAGCGUACUCGCAAGAGCGGGCCUUCGGGCACCUUUACGCUUAGGGCGUUGGCAUAAUGGCCCUCUACCACCCGUCUUGA
This 594-nucleotide ribosomal RNA is filed under the name uncultured Pseudozyma. RNAcentral's name for it is "eukaryotic LSU rRNA". It matches the Rfam family "Eukaryotic large subunit ribosomal RNA", at positions 81 to 657 of the family's 3401-position model. Lineage: Eukaryota; Fungi; Basidiomycota; Ustilaginomycetes; Ustilaginales; Ustilaginaceae. The record is from RNAcentral.